This is a long non-coding RNA of Antechinus flavipes (yellow-footed antechinus), 677 nucleotides long. RefSeq lists it as uncharacterized. The transcript is spliced from 2 exons. NCBI's taxonomy places the organism in Eukaryota, Metazoa, Chordata, Mammalia, Dasyuromorphia, Dasyuridae. The record is from RefSeq and is a predicted model, not a curated record.
CAACCAAACUCAUAGUGCAAGUGGUAGUGAGGAUGUGGCCCCUUGCUAACACAACCCUUCGAAAUCAGGCCUGGAUUCAGACUAUGGUCCAGCAUCUUCUUGACACUGGGUUUCCUGACUUGUCCCUCUCCAGCACAGUGAAGGGAGCCAAGAAGAGAGAAUAACUCUCUCACUGGAUCUGCCUACCUCUGGACCUUCCCAAGCAAGACCAGUAGCUAUGGCCAAGAGGUUAACAGUGGCUCACCACUAGGAUAUUCUUGCAUAUUGACACAGAAUAUUGUUUCAGCAUUUUGUCUGGAUUUCUACCUUUGUUCCCAUCACUUAAGUACUUCGUAAUGUACUUAUCUGUACAUCUUCAAUCCAACUCCUAGUAGAUUAUAAGUUCCUUUAGGGAAAAAAAAACGAUCAUUUUUAUCCUUGUAUUCUCAACACUUGGCACAGUGCCUUGAACAUGUUGGGAUCACUCAAUAUAUAUUGAAUGAGAAAAAGACUCACAAAGAAAGAUGAAUAUCAAUUAGUCCAACUCUCUUAUUUCAAAGAUGAGGAAACUAAAGUCUCAGGAACUAAAAUAUGGUCAUAAAGUAAUUUUUCAGCAAAGCUGGGACUAGAACCAAGAAGUAGUAGGAGCAAUAGCUUUGUUUUUCUUCAAAAUGUAUUAAAAUCUAAUCAUAAAAUUA